GAUGAACGCUGGCGGCGUGCUUAACACAUGCAAGUCGAACGGGAAACCUUUUAUUGAAGCUUCGGCAGAUUUAGCUGGUUUCUAGUGGCGGACGGGUGAGUAACGCGUGGGUAACCUGCCUUAUACAGGGGGAUAACAGUCAGAAAUGGCUGCUAAUACCGCAUAAGCGCACAGAGCUGCAUGGCUCAGUGUGAAAAACUCCGGUGGUAUAAGAUGGACCCGCGUUGGAUUAGCUGGUUGGUGGGGUAACGGCCCACCAAGGCGACGAUCCAUAGCCGGCCGGAGAGGGUGAACGGCCACAUUGGGACUGAGACACGGCCCAGACUCCUACGGGAGGCAGCAGUGGGGAAUAUUGCACAAUGGGGGAAACCCUGAUGCAGCGACGCCGCGGGAAGGAAGAAGUAUCUCGGUAUGUAAACUUCUAUCAGCAGGGAAGAUAAUGACGGUACCUGACUAAGAAGCCCCGGCUAACUACGUG
This 478-nucleotide ribosomal RNA is filed under the name uncultured bacterium. RNAcentral describes it as "partial 16S ribosomal RNA". It matches the Rfam family "Bacterial small subunit ribosomal RNA", at positions 28 to 507 of the family's 1533-position model. The record is from RNAcentral.